This 598-nucleotide ribosomal RNA is filed under the name uncultured bacterium. RNAcentral's name for it is "bacterial SSU rRNA". It matches the Rfam family "Bacterial small subunit ribosomal RNA", at positions 9 to 610 of the family's 1533-position model. The record is from RNAcentral.
GAUUUUGAUCCUGGCUCAAGAUGAACGCUGGCGGCGUGCCUAACACAUGCAAGUCGAACGAGCAUGUGCAUGAAACCUAGUGAUUGCGCAUGCGAGUGGCGGACGGGUGUAUAACGCGUGGACAACCUGCCGCAUGCAGGGGGAUACCGGCUGGAAACAGCCGCUAAUACCGCAUAUGCGCACAGCGCCGCAUGGCGCAGUGCGGAAAGGGAGCAAUCCCGGCAUGCGAUGGGUCCGCGUCCGAUUAGCUUGUUGGCGGGGCAGCGGCCCACCAAAGCAACGAUCGGUAGCCGGCCUGAGAGGGCGGACGGCCACAUUGGGACUGAGACACGGCCCAGACUCCUACGGGAGGCAGCAGUGGGGGAUAUUGCACAAUGGGGGGAACCCUGAUGCAGCGACGCCGCGUGGGUGAAGGAGUGCUUCGGCAUGUAAAGCCCUAUCGGCAGGGAAGAAGCAAGACGGUACCUGACUAAGAAGCCCCGGCUAACUACGUGCCAGCAGCCGCGGUAAUACGUAAGGGGCGAGCGUUAUCCGGAUUCACUGGGUGUAAAGGAAGCGUAGACGGCCAUGCAAGCCAUGGGGUGAUAGCCCGGGGCCC